RNAcentral lists this RNase P RNA (336 nucleotides) under Candidatus Methanofastidiosia archaeon. RNAcentral describes it as "Candidatus Methanofastidiosa archaeon Archaeal RNase P". It matches the Rfam family "Archaeal RNase P". Rfam says of the family: Ribonuclease P (RNase P) is a ubiquitous endoribonuclease, found in archaea, bacteria and eukarya as well as chloroplasts and mitochondria. Its best characterised activity is the generation of mature 5'-ends of tRNAs by cleaving the 5'-leader elements of precursor-tRNAs. The record is from Rfam by way of RNAcentral. Lineage: Archaea; Methanobacteriati; Methanobacteriota; Candidatus Methanofastidiosia.
GUGGGUUUUCUCGUGGUUUCGCCAUCAUGAAUGGUGAGGAAGUUCUAUCCAUGCGACUGGAACUGAGGCACGUGAGUGCUGCUGGGAAACCGGUAGGUCAGGAAAAGAAAAGAGCGCCUUUCCACAAAUGCGAUGAUGAGGUCAGCCUCUGAGGUCGUGGAAAGAAGCGGUGCAACAUAUCCUCCCUCAGCAUGCAAGACCAAACGAUGGCCCGUGAGCCCAGUCCGAGGCCAGUGGUAGGUCGCUUAGCCCAAUACCACGAACCCGUUGUGCAUUGGAUAGCAUGUCCAAUGAUGCAAUGGGGCAAUUACAAAAGAUAGGCUAUAGGAAACCCAC